RNAcentral lists this long non-coding RNA (3130 nucleotides) under Homo sapiens (human). RNAcentral describes it as "HSALNT0132133". Lineage: Eukaryota; Metazoa; Chordata; Mammalia; Primates; Hominidae. The record is from RNAcentral.
CAGGCAUUCAUCAAAUGCAGAAAUACUCAAAUACUUUACAAGAAACUGAAAAUGUAUUCCAACUAAAAAAUUGUGUUGUAUAAUAUUUUUUAAAUGGCAAUAGAAACAAUGCAGAGAAUACGGGGGUUUUGCUGGUUUUGUUUUGUUUUGUUGUUUUUUGAAGAUAGGGCCUCUCUCUGUCACCCAGGCUGGAGUGUGGUGGUGCCAUCCUGGCUCACUGCAGCCUCGACUUUCUGGGCUCAAGCGAUCCUCCCACCUCUGCUUCCCCAGUAGCUUGGACUACAGGUGCAUACCACCACAACCUGGCUAAUUUUUGUACUUUUUAUAGAGAUGGGGUCUCACCAUGUUGCCCAGGCUGGUCUCGAACUCCUGGGCUCAAGAUAUCCUCCUGCCUCAGCCUCCCAAAACUGGGAUUACAAGCAUGAGCCAUGGCCCUCCGUAAACAAUGCAAAUAAUUUGAUAUGUUGGAGACUCUUGGAAAGCUUUAAUGAUAUGACAAGAAAUUUGCCUUUUUUUCCCCCAUGCCUUUCCUCUCAACCGUCCUCAUUUCAGAAAGCUUCCUAAAUUAUAUGAAGUGGUUUAAAGUUCCUGUCACUCUGCUAAGCAGGGCACAAUACAUCAUGGUGCCAGGCCCUGCCCAGCUUGUCCGUGGUGGGGCCUGUGUAUCCCCCAGCCCCCGGCGGGCGGCCUGUCACGCACACUAGCUGCUUCCUGAACACCUUGUGCCCCUUCCCCUGAGAGGCCCUUUAGGACACGGGUUCCUCUGGCAAGAAUGUCCUCUUCCUCCCCUCCUUUGUGCCAUUCAUUUCUUCUCCUGCCUCCAAGCUCCAUUAACAUCAUUCCUAUAAGUCGUGUUUCAAUUUCCAAAGUCUUGCUUUGUCGUCCAGGUUAGAGUGUAAUGGCACUAUCUCAGCUCACUGCAAUCUCUGCCUCCGAGGCUCAAGUGAUUAUCCUGCCUCAGUCUCCUGAGUAGGAGUAGCUGGGAUUAAAGGCGCCUACCACCAUGCCUGGCUAGUUUUUGUAUUUUUAGUAGAGACGGGGUUUCACCAUGUUGGUCAGGUGGGUUUUGAACUCCUGACCUCAAGUGAUCUGCCCGCCUCUGCCUCUCAAAGUGCUGGGAUUACAGAUGUCAGCCACCAUGCCCAGCCCCUCCAGUAUUUUCUUUUAUAACAAAGGCUCUCAUGCCCAUGCAGGAACAGGGAGUAAGAUAAGAAGUCAAGAGUUGGCACUCCAAUUUGUCUAAGCAAUUAUGCUGUUUCAGCUUACAACAAUUCCAAGAGAUAAUAAUGCUGGUCUCUAUUAAACAGCUAAGGAAUCCACAGCUUUGACCCUUAUGUCACACAACUCAGGAGUCUCCAGGGUCUCCCCCAGGCCUCUGUGCCUUGCAGCCACGUCCCCAUCACACAGGUGUACACCCUUCGCUGUGGACUCCAAAAGCCUGCUGUGCUCUGGUUACACAUUAAUGACCUGAGGCUGUGGCCUUCUGCUACCCUAGAAAGUGGGUUUUGAAAUUCUUCCAGCACAAUGAGUCCUUCACAUGCUAGACCAGUCCAGCUGACAGGUGCCCAGCCUGGAACAGCACGCAGCAGGCUUUUGCUUAUACGAGAGAGAAAAACAGACAACAGGGCUUUGUUAGAGUGAAUUCUAGUUGCCUAUCUCAGAUGUUGUAAUGUGGUUCAAGAAAGGACCUGAAGAAAAGACGCCGAGAUUGUCUUCUGUACUUCGAAAAAUGGUAUAAGCAGGGGAAGCUGGUGAGAGAGAAUUUGAAAAUAAAUAGCUGGAUGUACCUGCUGCUGGGUGACACCUCAGUGAUGUGUGCAGCACCUGUUACCUCUGGACUGGCUUUAUGGUGAUAUAAAAUCCUGUUCUGUGACAUGUGGCUGGUGUUAUUCACUUUGUAAUUCUUUGGGGAAGCUUUCCUUUGCUGACUUCCAUAACUCAAAUGGACAAAUAGGUGGAAAGGUGGUCAGAAGACUGUUGCUGAAGUGCUGAUUCUGUCACUAGAGUCUCCUAGAACCCCAUCUUUUUGUCUAUGAAGCUGACACCAUAAUCUUCCUCCUAAAUCUCCCCAAAAGGCCAACAUCAUGAUUGGAUUGGACGCCGGGUCCUGCUGCCCCAUGCUGAGGAGUGAGGCCUGUGUGGAGAAGUCACGUGUACAUCGAUUCGCAAUGCCAAGAAGUCUCGUCUCUGAGGCAGAACCUGCAUUCUCGGCAAGCCGUGUACAGACUUGCAGUGUUCACAGCAGGCAUGUGAAGCAAGCACACAGAAUGUUUGAAUAAAUAUCAGUGACUCCCCAUAAGGGACUGAAAGAAGUAUCCAGAUGGAAUGAUUGGGUUGGUUUUCCACACCACCUAUGCCCAGAGACCCACCUUCCCUUCUCCACCAUGGUGGAUAACAGCCCCAGGGGCCCCUCCCAGUGCCCAUGGCCCCCGUCCGCCCACCUGCCCUCUGCAGCCCCCUUCUGGGUCCUCUCCUGCACUGCCUUGUUGGGGGGUUUGAGGCCAAGAACAACUGAUCACUUGCCUUUGAAUUCUCACAGUGACAUAAGCUGAAUACAGAGUAGAAACUCCAUAAAGGUUUACUGGACAGAAAUAACAUAAAGUUUUAACUGGUGGGCUCAACAAACAAGGCACGUCCUUUGUCUUCUAUUAAAUCUUUCAAAUAUUUGAUGCUUUAUUAACAUUUCACAAUGAAAACGUUGACAAUAAAUCUUAUUUAUAACCAUUCCUAAGAAACCAGGCUAUAAAAAAAAUGAGCUUUUUCCCUCCUUGCAUUUCAAAUUUCAUGUGCCCAUAAUUUAAACCAAAUUCUAUUUCGACUGCCUGUUUCUUAAUCCUAAUAAUGUAAAUAUUUUCCUACGCAUAAUAAUUUUUGGAGUAUUCUGCCCGUCAUUUAAAAUUAUGCUACCCUUCCUAUUAGGCACAAACUAUCUUUCAAGACCUCCCUGGAAAUAAUGUUUUAAUAUACUACAAUUGAGUUUAAAUUGUCAAAUUCAAUUAUUAGAGCCAUUUCUUUACUAUUUGAGCAAGUUUUGACAACUGUAAACUUUGCGACCUAAACAUAAAACAUGACAACUGAUUAUAACAUGAUCUCAAAUGUACCCCCGUUCUCCGGUUUCAUUAAAAUAUUA